Molecule: ribosomal RNA, 395 nt
Filed under: uncultured bacterium
Lineage: Bacteria
Description: partial 16S ribosomal RNA
Rfam family: Bacterial small subunit ribosomal RNA
Source: RNAcentral
AUACGUAGGGUGCAAGCGUUAAUCGGAAUUACUGGGCGUAAAGCGUGCGCAGGCGGUUUUGUAAGACAGUGGUGAAAUCCCCGGGCUCAACCUGGGAACUGCCAUUGUGACUGCAAGGCUGGAGUGCGGCAGAGGGGGAUGGAAUUCCGCGUGUAGCAGUGAAAUGCGUUGAUAUGCGGAGGAACACCGAUGGCGAAGGCAAUCCCCUGGGCCUGUACUGACGCUCAUGCACGAAAGCGUGGGGAGCAAACAGGAUUAGAUACCCUGGUAGUCCACGCCCUAAACGAUGUCAACUGGUUGUUGGGGAUUUAUUUUCUCAGUAACGAAGCUAACGCGUGAAGUUGACCGCCUGGGGAGUACGGCCGCAAGGUUAAAACUCAAAUGAAUUGACGGGG